CAAUAUGCGAACGCGCCUAUAUUACCAACUAGGUCCAGUGCGGCGCACCCUCAACCGUCUGCUUCACGCUGGUAACAUUUUGCUAACUGGGACUCGGCGCAGUAGGAACGAUGUGAAAGUCGAAGGCAUAGUGGAUAUUAAAAGAACCAAAACAAAGCAGAAAAGUGAUUUGUGGUUGAUAAGUUUAAUCUUUAGUUCAAAGUUAGUUUCUGUAACUAAAUCCUUUGAAAAAUUCUUUAAAAGUGAUUAGUUUAAGUGCGUGCAGCGGAUAACUAAGUUAGUUGUUUCGUGUCGCCAAAUCACCGUUGCUGUUUAAAAUCAGAGAUUAGCCAAGCUAUCCUGAUUCUAAUCAAGGAACAGAUACUUACAGCCCGAACUACCGUACGAUACCGCUUACCGGAGAGAACGAAGAUACGAAGACACUAAACGAAAAAUUUAACAAACUUUGCAAAUAAACCGUAGAAAAUUACUCUGGCGAGUUUGUUUAAACUUUUGGAACACGGCCUACCGUAUUGUUGCCGUUAGCGGUAACA
Long non-coding RNA from Aedes albopictus (Asian tiger mosquito), 533 nucleotides. RefSeq lists it as uncharacterized. The transcript has 3 exons. Lineage: Eukaryota; Metazoa; Arthropoda; Insecta; Diptera; Culicidae. The record is from RefSeq and is a predicted model, not a curated record.